Molecule: ribosomal RNA, 254 nt
Filed under: uncultured bacterium
Lineage: Bacteria
Description: partial 16S ribosomal RNA
Rfam family: Bacterial small subunit ribosomal RNA
Source: RNAcentral
UACAGAGGGUGCGAGCGUUGUUCGGAAUUACUGGGCGUAAAGCGCGCGCAGGCGGCCCUUUAAGUCUGUCGGUCAAACGCCGGGGCUCAACCCCGUGCUCGCCGCGGAUACUGGAGGGCUGGAGACAGGUAGAGGCAGGCGGAAUUCCGGGUGUAGCGGUGGAAUGCGUAGAGAUCCGGAAGAACACCAGAGGCGAAGGCGGCCUGCUGGGCCUUGUCUGACGCUGAGGUGCGAAAGCUAGGGGAGCGAACGGG